This 433-nucleotide ribosomal RNA is filed under the name uncultured bacterium. RNAcentral's name for it is "partial 16S ribosomal RNA". It matches the Rfam family "Bacterial small subunit ribosomal RNA", at positions 29 to 507 of the family's 1533-position model. The record is from RNAcentral.
AACGAACGCUGGCGGCAUGCCUAACACAUGCAAGUCGAACGAUGCCUUCGGGCAUAGUGGCGCACGGGUGCGUAACGCGUGGGAAUCUGCCUUUCGGUUCGGAAUAACUCAGGGAAACUUGAGCUAAUACCGGAUAACGUCGCAAGACCAAAGAUUUAUCACCGAAAGAUGAGCCCGCGUAGGAUUAGCUAGUUGGUGAGGUAAAGGCUCACCAAGGCGACGAUCCUUAGCUGGUCUGAGAGGAUGAUCAGCCACACUGGGACUGAGACACGGCCCAGACUCCUACGGGAGGCAGCAGUGGGGAAUAUUGGACAAUGGGCGAAAGCCUGAUCCAGCAAUGCCGCGUGAGUGAUGAAGGCCUUAGGGUUGUAAAGCUCUUUUACUCGGGAAGAUAAUGACGGUACCGGGAGAAUAAGCCCCGGCUAACUCCGUG